Molecule: ribosomal RNA, 402 nt
Filed under: uncultured bacterium
Lineage: Bacteria
Description: bacterial SSU rRNA
Rfam family: Bacterial small subunit ribosomal RNA
Source: RNAcentral
UGGGGAAUCUUGCACAAUGGGGGCAACCCUGAUGCAGCGACGCCGCGUGAGCGAUGAAGCCCUUCGGGGCGUAAAGCUCUUUCGACCGGAACGAUAAUGACGGUACCGGGAGAAGAAGCUGCGGCUAACUACGUGCCAGCAGCCGCGGUAGUACGUAGGACCCAAGCGUUGUCCGGAUCUACUGGGUGUAAAGGGUGCGCAGGCGGAUGGGUAAGUCAGGGGUGAAAGUCUGCAGCUUAACUGUAGAAUUGCCUUUGAUACUGCUCAUCUUGAGUGUGGGAGAGGUUGAUGGAAUUCCAGGUGUAGCAGUGAAAUGCGUAGAUAUCUGGAAGAACACCAGUGGCGAAGGCGGUCAACUGGCCCAUAACUGACGCUCAUGCACGAAAGCGUGGGGAGCAAACA